GUAGGUGGCAAGCGUUGUCCGGAAUUAUUGGGCGUAAAGCGCGCGCAGGCGGUUCUUUAAGUCUGAUGUGAAAGCCCACGGCUCAACCGUGGAGGGUCAUUGGAAACCGGAGAACUUGGGUACAGAAGAGGAAAGCGGAAUUCCACGUGUAGCGGUGAAAUGCGUAGGGAUGUGGAGGAACACCAGUGGCGAAGGCGGCUUUCUGGUCUGUAACUGACGCUGAGGCGCGAAAGCGUGGGGAGCAAACAGGGAUUAGAUACCCUGGUAGUCCACGCCGUAAACGAUGAGUGCUAAGUGUUAGGGGGUUUCCCGCCCCUUAGUGCUGCAGCUAACGCAUUAAGCACUCCGCCUGGGGAGUACGCCGCAAGGCUG
This 372-nucleotide ribosomal RNA is filed under the name uncultured organism. RNAcentral describes it as "partial 16S ribosomal RNA". It matches the Rfam family "Bacterial small subunit ribosomal RNA", at positions 527 to 896 of the family's 1533-position model. The record is from RNAcentral.